GGCAGUGUGGCCGAAUGGAAAGAUCAUGGACCUGGGAGUCAGGGGACCCGGGUUCUAAUCCCGGCUCUGCCA
Molecule: transfer RNA, 72 nt
Filed under: Ornithorhynchus anatinus (platypus)
Lineage: Eukaryota; Metazoa; Chordata; Mammalia; Monotremata; Ornithorhynchidae
Rfam family: tRNA
About the family: Transfer RNA (tRNA) molecules are approximately 80 nucleotides in length. Their secondary structure includes four short double-helical elements and three loops (D, anti-codon, and T loops).
Source: Rfam by way of RNAcentral